UUUAAAGGAAUACAGAUUUCAGAAGUACAACUUCAGGAAUACAGUUAUUAUUAUCAUUCCCACCAUAGGGGAAUAUAAUUAUUAUUAUUCCCACCAUACUUGCCCUCCCACCCACACUCUCACCUCUCCUCCUCCUCCCUCUCCCCUUGCCAGUCCCAUUCUCCAUUAAGAUUCAUUUUCAAUUAACUUUGUACACAGAAGACCAACUCUAUACUAAGUAAAGAUUUCAACAAUUUGUAUGCACACACACACACACACACACAAACCUGAGAACUAGUUUACAGUUAACUCUCAUAAUACACCUCAUUAAGGACAGAGGCCUGCAUGGGGAGUUCGUGCACAGUGACUCCUGUUGUUAAUUUAACAGUUAACACUCUUAUGUAUGACGUCAGUGACCACCUGAGGCUCUUCUCAUGAACUACCAUGGCUAUGGAAGCUUUUUGAGUCCACAAACUCAGUCAGUAUUCAGACAAGGCCAUAGGCAAAGUAGAAGUUCUUUCCUCCCUUUAGAUAAAAGUACAUCCUUCUUUGAUGGCCACUUUUUUCCACUGGGGUCUCACUCACAGAGAUCCUUCAUGUAGAAAUUAUUUUGCCACAGUUUUUUGUCUUUUCAUGCCUGAAAUGCUUUCAUGGGCUUUUCAGCUAAAGCAGGAAGGAAGCUUUAAGGGCUGAUUCUGAGGUCAGAGUGUUACUUAAAGCGAUUGUCAUUUUAUGAGUCUACUGUGUGGACUGCUUCCCAUGUUGGAACACUCUCUCCUUUUUAUUUCUAUCUAUUAUUAUUAACAGACACUUAAUUCUAUUUAUAUGAUCACUUUGUCACUUAAUCCUAUCUAUAUGUUCACUACAACACUUAAUAUGAUCAUUUUAAUAAUAAAGAUGGCAUUUUUAUCAUGAAGCUUAAUGGGAUUUGGAGUCCCAUGACAAGUUUUUAAAUUAUACCCUUAAAAGUAAGUACACAGGGGGCCGGCGCCGCGGCUCAGUAGGCUAAUCCUCCGCCUUGCGGCGCCGGCACACCGGGUUCUAGUCCCGGUCGGGGCACCGGAUUCUGUCCCGGUUGCCCCUCUUCCAGGCCAGCUCUCUGCUGUGGCCAGGGAGUGCAGUGGAGGAUGGCCCAAGUGCUUGGACCCUGCACCCCAUGGGAGACCAGGAGAAGCACCUGGCUCCUGCCUUUGGAUAGGCGCAGUACACUGGCCGCGAUGGCCAUUGGAGGGUGAACCAACGGCAAAGGAAGACCUUUCUCUCUGUCUCUCUCAUUGUCCACUCUGCCUGUCAAAAAAAAAAAAAAAAAAGGUAAGUACAUAAGAAUGUAUGCAGAACUAUAUAGCUUUACAGUUACAAACUUCCUCCUCCCUCUCUUAUUCCCACUCAUUUUUUACUGACAUCUAUUUUCAAUGGACUUUAUACACAUAUGAUUAACUCUUUUAACUAAUAAGUUCAACAAAUGAUAUGAAGAAAAAAAAGGGAAAACAAACAAAAAGAAACUGUUUCUUGGCAGUUAAGUGUGGCUCAAGUCAUCCUUUCUCAAGUGUCAGUUUCACUUCAACUACAGAUUUCAUUUUAGGUGUUCUAUUAGUUCUCAUGGAUCAGGGAGAACAUAUGAUAUUUGUCCCUUUGGAACUGGCUUAUUUCACUAAGUAUGAUGUUUUCCAUCCAUUUUUUUUGCAAAUAACUGGAUUUCAUUUUUUUUUACUGCUGUGUAGUAUUCCAUAGUGUAUAUAAUCCAUAAUUUCUUUAUCUAGUCUUCUGUUGAUGGACACUUAGGUUGAUUCCAUGUCUUAACUAUUGUGAAUUGAGCUGCAAUAAACAUGGAGGUACAGAUAACUCUUUCGUUUACUGAUUUCAUUUCCCUUGGGUAAAUUUCAAGGAGUGGGAUGGCUGGAUCAUAUGGUAGGUCUAUAUUCAGAUUUUUGAGUUAUCUCCAUACUGUCUUGCAUAUUGCCUUUACCAGUUUACAUUCCCACCAACAGUGGUUAGGAUACCUUUUUCCCAAAAUCCUCUCCAACAUUUGUUGUUUGUUGAUUUUUGUAUGAAAGUCAUUCUAACUGGGGUUAGGUGAAACCUCAUUGUGGUUUUGACUUGCAUUUCCCUGACAGCUAGUGAUCCUGAACAUUUUUUCAUGUUUCUAUUGGCCAUUUGGAUUUCCUCCUCUGAAAAAUGUGUAUUUAAGUCCUUGGUCCAUCUCUUAACUGGGUUGUUUGUUUUGUUGUUGUGCAGGUUCUUGAUCUCUUUGUAUAUUUUGAUUAUUAAUCCUUUAUCAGUUGCACAGUUUGCAGAUAUUUUCUCCUAUUCUGUCGAUAGGCUCUUCACUUUCCUGAGUGUUUCUUUUGCCAUACAGAAACUUUUGAAUUUGAUGUAAUUCCAUUUGUGAAUUUUGGCUUUGAUUGCAUGUGCCUAUGGGGUCUAUUUUUUUUUUUUAAAGAAAUCUGCCUGUGCCAAUGUCUUGCCAAUGUCUUGUUUUCUCAAAUGUUCUCUAACAAUUUGAUGGUGUUGGAUCAUAGAUUUAGAUUUUUAAUCCAUUUUGAGUGGAUUUUUGUGUAAGAUGUAAGAUAGGGGUCUUGCUUCAUACUUCUGCAUGUGGAAACCCAGUUUUCCCAGCACCAUUUGUUGAAGAGACUGUCCUUGCUCCAAGAAUUGGUUUUAGCUCCUCGAUCAAAUAUAAGUUGGUUGUAGUUGCUUGGAUUAAUUUCUGGUGUUUCUAUUCUGUUCUAUUGGUCUGUGAAUUUAUUUUUAUACCAAUACCAGGCUGUUUUGAUUAUAACUGCACUGUAGUAUGUCUUGAAAUCUGGUAUUGUGGUGUCUCCAUCUUUGUUUCUGUUACAUAAGAUUGCUUUAGCUAUUCGAGUGCUUUCGGAAGAAUAGACAUUUUGAUGAUAUUGAUUAUUCCAAUUCAUGAACAUGGAAGAUUUUUCCAUUUUUUCGUGUCAUUCUAUUUCUUUUUUUUAAUGUUUUGUAGUUUUCAUUGUAGAUGAGAAUUCUCAUCAAAGAUGUCAUCAAGGAGAUCUUUGACAUCCUUGGUUAGAUUUAUUUCAAGGUAUUUGAUUUUUUUUGGCAACUAUUGUGAAUGGGACUAAUCUUAGAAGUUCAGUCUCAGCCUUGGCAUUUCUGUGUUACAAAGGCUGUUGUUUUUUGUGUGUUGACUUUAUAUCCUGCUACUAUACCAAACUCUUCUAUGAAUUCCAAUAGUUUCUUGGUGGAGUCUUUUGGAUCCCCUGUAUAUGGAAUCAUGUCAUCUGCAUAUAGGGAUAGUUUGACUUCCUCUUUCCCAAUUUGUAUCCCUUUGAUUUCUUUUUCUUGCCUAAUGGCUCUGGCUAAAAUUUCCAUGACUAUAUUGAAUAACAAUGGUGAGAGUGGGCAUCCUUGUCUGAUGCCACAUCUCAAGGGGAAUGCUUCUAACUUUUCCCCAUUCAAUAGGAUGCUGCCCAUUUGUUUGUCAUACAUGGCCUUCUAUACCCAAUUUGCUUAGAGUUUUCAUCAUUAAAGGGUGUUGUAUUUUAUUAAAUGCUUUCUCCACAUCUGUUGUGAUAAUCAUAUGGUUUUAGUUCUGCAGUUUGUUAAAGUGAUGUAUCCCAUUGAUUGAUUUGUAAAUGUUGAACCAUCCUUGCAUACACCCACUUGGUAUGGGUGGAUAAUAUUUCUGAUGUGUUCUUGGGUUUGAUUGGCUAGAAUUUUGUUGAGGAUUUUUGCAUCUAUGUUCAUCAGGGAAAUUGGAAUGUAAUUCGCUUUGUCUGUUGCAUCUUUUUCAAAUUUAGGAAUUAAGGUGAUGCUGGGGGUGGGGUGCGGUGCUGUGGCUCGCUUGGUUAAUUCUCUGCCUGCGGCACUGGCAUCCCAUAUGGGUGCCAGAUUCUAGUCCUGGUUGCUCCUCUUCCAGUCCAGCUCUCUGCUGUGGCCUGGGAAGGCAGUGAAGGAUGGCCCAAGUGCUUGGGCCCCUUCACCCGCAUGGGAGACCAGGAAGAAGCACCUGGCUCUUGGCUUCGGAUUGGCACAGCACUGGCUGUAGCGGCCAUCUGAGGAGUGAAUCAAUGGAAGGAAGACCUUUCUCUCUGUCUCUCUCUCUCACUGUCUAACUCUGUCAAAUAAAAAAAAAAAAAGGUGAUGCUGGCUUCAUAGAAAGAAUUUGGGAGGAUUCCCUCCCUUUUGAUUGGUUUGAAUAACUUGAGAAGAAUUAGAAUUAGUUCUUCUUUAAAUGUCUUGGAGAAUUCCGCAGGGAAGCGAUCCAGUCCUGGGCUUUUCUUUGUUGGGAGAGCCUUUAUUACUGAUUCAAAUUCCAUCUUGGUUACGGGUAUGUUUAGGUUUUCUAUAUCUAGUUUUUUUUUUUUUUUUUUUUUUUUUAAGGUAGAUUGUAUGUGCCCAGGAAUCUAUCCAUUUCUUCUAGGUUUCCCAGUUUUCGGCAUACAGCUCUUUGUAGUAAUUUCUGAUGAUUCUUUUUGUUUCUGUGAUGUCUGUUGUUACAUUUCCAUUGUCAUUUCUAAUUUUAUUGAUUUGGGUCUUCUCUCUCCUUUUUUUGGUUUCUUGGGCCAAUGGUAUGUCAAUUUUGUUUAUUUUAUCAAAAAAACAGCUUUUCAUUUUGCUGAUCUUUUGUAUUGUUUUUUUGGAUUCAGUUUUGUUGAUUCCUUCUAUAAUUUUAAUAAUUUCUUUUCUCCUAUUAGUUUAGGGUUUGGUUUGCUGUUGUUUUUCUAGAUCCUUGAGAUGCAUUGAGAGCUCAUUUAUUUGGUGCCUUUUCAAUUUGUUGAUGUAGGCACCGAUUGGUAUAGACUUUCCUCUUUUUUUUUUUAAUUUUUUUUUGACAUGCAGAGUGGACAGUGAGAGAGAGAGAAAGAGAGAAAGGUCUUCCUUUGCCGUUGGUUCACCCUCCAAUGGCUGCCACAGCUGCGCACCACGCUGAUCUGAUGGCAAGACCCAGCUACUUAUCCUGGUCUCCCAUGGGGUGCAGGGCCCAAGCACUUGGGCCAUCCUCCACUGCACUCCCUGGCCACAGCAGAGAGCUGGCCUGGAAGAGGGGCAACCGGGACAGAAUCCGGCACCCCUAGACUUUCCUCUUAACACCACUUUUGCUGUAUCCCAUAAAUCUUGAUAUGUGUGUGGUCAUCUUCAUUUGUUUCCAGAAAUUUUUUGAUUUCUCUUUUGAUUUCAGCUAUGAUCCACUGUUCAUUCAGGAGCAUAUUGUUCAGUCUCCAUGCAUCUGCAUAUGUUCUAGAGAUUCCUGAGUUGCUGAUUUCCAACUUCACUCUUUUGUGGUCUGAGAAGAUACAUGGUAGGAUUUCGAUUUUUUUUUUUUUAAUUUGCUGAGUGUGGGGAGCAACUCGGACUAGACUGUUACUGGAAUUAAGACUUAUUCUAUGCAUCUGCUCUCCCACAAUAUGGCGCUGGGAGAGGAGUAAACAGCUUCUACACAGCUGCCUCCAGUUCAACCAAUAAGCAGCAGGACCUGCUCCUGAUUGGAGGAGAGCAGCGUACUCGGCGUGUGGGUAGCAGAGUUGGGAUUGGUGGAAGAGGACUAUAAAGGAGGAGAGAGACAACAUGCACCAGGAACAUCUAUCUGAAGGAACACCUGUGCAGCCCCCGAGAGAGCCGGCCGGCGGUGUGCCGCUCCCCCGCGGAAGUGGGGAAAGUGGCAGGGGGAAGCGCCCUUCCACAGAGGUGGAAGGGUCGGUAGCCAACCCGGGAAGAACCAGCAGCAAACCCGGGGAGGGCUGAGCAGACAAAAGAACAGCGCAGGGUCCUGUGUCGUUCCUCCGCGAAGAGGGGGAGCGACAGCUGAGACUUGCUUUAUGGCCUAAUGUGUGGUCAAUCCUAGAGAAAGUUCCAUGCACUGGUGAGAAUGUAUAUUUUGCAACUGUAGGGUGAAAAGUUCUGUAGAUAUAUGUUAGGUCCAUUUGAUCUAUAGUGUCAAUUAAAUCUGCUGUUUCCUUGCUGAUUUUAUGUCUGGUUGAUCUGUCCAUUGCUGAAAGUGUGGUAUUGAAGUGCGCUAUUAUUUUGUAUUGGAGUCUAUGUCACCCUUUAGAUCCUUUAACAUUCCUUUUAAAUAGCCAGGUGCUCUGUAAUUAGGUGCAUAUACAUUUAUAAUAGUAACAUCUUCCUGUUAAUUGAUCCCUUAAUCAUUACAUAGUGCCAUUCCUUGUCUCUUUUAACAGUUUUUAUGUUAAAGUCUAUUUUGUCUGAUAUUAGGUUGGCUACAUCAGCUCUUUUUUGGUUUAUGUUGUCAUGAAAUAUCUUUUUCCAACCUUUCACUUUCAGUCUAUGUGCAUUUUUGUUGGUGAAAUGUGUUUCUUGUAAGCAGCAAUAGAUGGGUUUUGUAUUUUAAUCCAUUCAGCCAGUCUGUGUCUUUUAAUUGGAGAGUGGAGGCCAUUUACAUUCAAGUAACUAUUGAUAAGUAAUGACUUUUCCCUGCCAUUUUUUCAAAAAUAUUCCUAUUUUUUACUUUGAAUUUCUUUUGAACUUUUACUAGGAGAUUUUCUUUCUUUACCUUCUUUUAUACUGAUGACCAUGUUUCUGUGUUUCUGUGUACAGCGCAUUCUUAAGCAUUUUUUGUAUGGCUGGUUGGGUGGUGAUAAAUUCUUUCAUUUUCUGUUUGUUAUAGAAGGUCUUUAUUUCUGUUUCACCUAACUCAUAAAUGAGAACUUUGCAAGGUAUAGUAUUCUGGGUUGACAGUUUUUUUUUCUCUUAAGACUUAGAAUGUAUCUCACCAUUCUCCUAGCAUGUAGGGUUUCUGAUGAGAAGUCUGCUAUGAGUCUAAUUGGAGAUCCUCUGAAAAUAAUCUGGUGUUUUUUUUGUGCACAUUUUAGAAUCUUUAUAUUUUACUGUGGUGAUUUGAUUACAAUGUUUCAUAUUGAAAACCUUUCUGGUCAUGUCUAUUAAGAGUUCUAUAUGCUUUCUGUACAUGGAUGUCCUUUUCUUUCUCCAAAUUAGGGAAGUUUUCUGUUAUUUUUUCACUAAAAAGGCCUUCUAAUCCUUUGUCUCUUUCCAUGCCUUCAGGAACUCCUAGAACUCAUCUGUUGAGUUGUUUGAUAGUUGCCCUAGAUUCUCAAAAGUAUUUUUUAGUUUUCUUAUUUACUCUUCUUAUUUCUGGUUUGACUGUAUAAUUUCCUGUGCUUUGUCUUCUAAGUCGGGUCUUCUUUCUUUUGUUUCUCUAAUUCUUUUGUUAAGGCUUUGCACUGCAUUUUAUAUUUGUUCUAUUCAAUUUCUGUUUCAUUUUGAGUUCUCUUUAAGAUCUCAGUUUCAUGGGAGAAAUUUUGUUUCAUGUCCUGUACAGAUUUCAGUAGUUUAUGCAUUUGCUUCUGAUUACUUCUAUGUAAUCUUCUGAUUAAUUUUUUGAAUUUCAUUUCUUGCAUUUCUUCCAUCUCAUCAUCUUCACAAUCUAUUAUUGGAGUUUUGUAUUCUUUUUUUGGGUUAUAUUGUCUUCCUUAUUCUUGUUUCUUGAAUUGGUUCAUAUGUUGUUUGGCAUUUGUGGAGAUACUCAUUGGUUUCUUUGUUUUUUUUUUUUUUUUUUUGUUGUUGUUGUUGUUGUAGUUGUAGCAGCUUUUAUCUUUGUACUAUACCUCUGUAGAUAAGUGGAGUGUUUGCUUUCAGUGAAUAUCUAGGGGCUUGUAGUGGGUGUGGCCAGGGAGCUCUGUUCAGUUCUCUAGGGUAAAGGGUGUGACUAAGGUGACACAUCCAGGUUUGGGGUAGUAAAUGUCCUCUAUUUUUUUUUUUUUUAUCAGAAAGGAAGUUUAUUCUGCUCAGCUGAGCUCCUCUCCUCAAGGGAGACUAGUGCCUGAGCAGUAGCCCCAGUGGGUAUAAUAUUCAUCCACACAAAGGAUCUGUGCAGGCCUCAGUAUAAUCUCAGAUGUCCCAGCAAUGUCGCUUACCAGGUAACCAGGAAGCCCUGAGCAUGUGGAGUCUCCCACAGUGACUGCUCGUGUAGGUCCACAUGUCCUUCUAAUUUGCAUAGUUUCCUCUGCUGUUUUCUCCCUAACUCUUCCCUGAGACUGCACUCUUUCCACUUUUUAAAAACUAUCUUCUCCUAGAGCAGUAUGUUCCCUCCUUACUCCACCAUCUUUGAACUCCACCCUCAAUUACUUUUUAAAAAAAAUAUGAAUUAAUCAUUUAAUCCAUUCAAAAGGCAGAGGGACAGAAAAAGAGAGAGAGAGAGAUCUUCCAUUCAUUGGUUCACUUCCCAAAUUCCAUGUAUCAGGCAGGGCUGGGCCAGGUUGAAGCCAGGAUCUAGGAACUGCAUCUGGAUUUCCCAUGGAGUGGAAGCUGUCGGGGCCCAACUACUUGAACUAUCACCUGCUGCUUUCCCAGGCACAUUAGCAGAAAGCUUGAUUAGAAGCAAAACAGCCAGGACUCAAACUUUCACUCUGAUAUGGGUUACUGUUGUCACAAAAGGUGACUAAACACUCUGAGGAAUGAUGCCAACCUCUCAAGUUAUUUUUUGCUCAUAUCACAGGCCAAUGCUAUUCUAUGUUGUCAUUCAGGAUCCUUCUCCUUCAUCUGGUGCUCUCCACUUGUUCCUCCACAUCUGGGCAGCCAGUGGGAUCAGGGAAAGAGCAGAGCAGAGAGCAGAUUGUAGCCACAGAGACAUAGAGAUCAGGCAUGAAAGCAGUAUGCAUCAUUUCCCCGCACAAUCCACUGGCCAUAGUGCAGUAAUAUUGGCUCACUUAAGGAGGCUGAGAAAUUUCUAGUAUGUCUACUCUCCUAGGUGAAUAAUAGCAGUCUCUGCCAUGGACAGCAAUAGCUAUGUAAAAAAGAAAAUUUUCUGGAGAUAAGAAUGUCACAAUUCUGAAAUCUGUGAGCAAUUAAUCGGGGUUGCCAUUGUGCCUUGAUGAAUGGCAAGGGAUUUGGAAUCAGAAUGCUUACAUUUACAUUUGUCCUGGCUCAUCAAUUAUUAGUUAUGUGAUCCUGCCUAGUACACACUGUAAGCAGCAGUUUCCUUCAGUGUAAAAUAGGGAUAUUAAUAAUAUCUGUUUCACUUAUGUUUAGAUUGUUUUCAGGGUCAAAGAGUAGAUUAUUUUCAGGAUUAAAUGAAAGUAAAGAAAGAGUUUAUUAUACUCAGGGGGAUGCUGCACAAAUAUAAGUGUCCCUCUGCCUUGGUCUUGUUCCCAUUCUUUUGGCCAGGAUGAUGUGUCGCCUAGACCUAGCUAUCAGACCAAUAGAAAUGUAAUUGCCUCCAUUACUAGAAGACUGGACAUCACUUUCAGUCUUCCCUUAAGGAUUGAAUACUUAUGGUUUUUUUUUUAAUUUUUUAAUUUUUUUAUAUUUUGACAGGCAGAGUGGACAGUGAGAGAGAGAGACAGAGAGAAAGGUCUUCCUUUGCCGUUGGUUCACCCUCCAAUGGCCGGCGCGGCCGGCGCGCUGCGGUCGGUGCACCGCGCUGAUCCGAUGGCAGGAGCCAGGAGCCAGGUGCUUUUCCUGGUCUCCCAUGGGGUGCAGGGCCCAAGCACCUGGGCCAUCCUCCACUGCACUCCCUGGCCACAGCAGAGAGCUGGCCUGGAAGAGGGGCAACUGGGACAGAAUCCGGCGCCCCGACCGGGACUAGAACCCGGUGUGCCGGCGCCGCUAGGCGGAGGAUUAGCCUAGUGAGCCGCGGCGCCGGCCAUUCCCUAGGUUUUGGGGGGAAAAUCAGAUGGAAGGUAUCCCCUUCAAACCAGAGUUGUGGUACAGCAGGUAAAGCCCUAGCUUGUGGUACCAGCAUCCCAUACUGGAAUGCCAAUUCAAGUCCCAGUUGCUCCACUUCCAUUCCAGUUCUCUUCUAAAGUGCCUGGGAAAGCAGCAGAAAAUAAUCCAGGUACUUGGGCUCCUGCCACUCACAUGGAGACCAGGAAGUUGUUUGGGUCUUCUGGCUUCUGUUUGGUGCAGUUCCACUUUUGGUGGCCAUCUCAGGAAUGAACUAGUGAAUGGAAGAUCUCUUUCUCUGUCUCUCCCUCUUAUUGUCAUUCUGCCUUUCAAAUAAAUAAAAUAAAUAUUAUUUUAAAAAGGCAGUCAGAAGGUUAAGGCAGAAGAGUCUGAAGCAGAAUGCAACAGGCCUGUGCCCUUGGAGAUGCCAGAUAGGCCAAAAGUUCCCAUCCCCCUGUGAUGAGAAUAUAAGUGGCCUUUGUAGUUUACUAUUUUUAACAUGUAAAAUUAAUAACUAUUGCAGUUGUGAAUCAUGCAUUCUAACUUUCUUUUCUUAUAUCUAGAUGUGAAAUUACCCCCAAAGUCUUUGGAGUUAUCCAUGUGAUGUUAAAAACCAUCCUCCUGAGAACUGAGCAGGAAGGAGAUGUUUCAGCCAUGGAUGUCAUAGUGGCAGUUUCUAAGCAUCAAAGAAUGCUCCAUUGGAAGCCAGUGGUGGUGGAACCUGAUGGGCAGAGUGACAUCACCUGACACUCCUCAGUAAGGCCCUCUGAGUUGUGUCAGUGUCUGUUGAUUUGUUAGUAUCUAGACCCAACCUUGGCAUGAUGUCAACUAUGUGAUGUCAGUACGUUUCAGAAACUUCCUCUCCCAACCUGGAUCACCCUUAGGGAUAAGGAGAAAGGAAAGGGAAGACAGCAACCUCAAAUAAUUGCUGGUUCCCUCCUAAGGAGGCUAUAAUAAACCAAAAGUAACUAAGUUUACUUUGAUUGUAAGCUUAAGUUGACUAGCAGUCUGUGAACUAAUUUAAAAUCGUUUACAUAGACUUAAAAGAAACGAGUUCCAUUUUUCUCAAACAUGUAAAAUUCAUAACUGCUUCAAUGUGAAUCAUUGCAUUUGAGCUCUCACUUCUUGUGUCUUGGUGUCAGAUGUGUCCCAAGGCCUCCAAAGCUAUCAGUCAUUUUCUUGGGAAGGUCUAAAGGGAAACAUGUUCUUUUGCAACUUCAGCAGGUUGAAAGAAGGGCCCAGUGGUGGUGUGUUACCACAGUGAGGUCUGACUUAUAAGCAAGCAAUAAAAAUGUUUAUCUUUCUACUUUUUAGAGGUUGAGAAAAGUGCUCAGGCAAACCCAUGGCAGAUCAAAGGCUGAAUGAUAUGUUUCUCUCUUUCACAUGGGUUAAAAUCAAGAGACCUUGAUUUCAAAUGCAAGAAAUAGCAAAUGGAAGAAGAGUAAAAACAAAAACAAUGGAAAGGAAAUGAACCGAUAUUCAUAGCUUACCACUGAGUUUUUCAAAGAGGCUGAAAUAGUCUUCUAGGACAGGGGUUUAACAAUGUGUCUAGGCAUGAAUUCUUAGAAAUUUUAAGAAAUAUUUUUGUUCUUUGUACGAAAGCAGCAGAUAAAUUCAUAAGGCUUUAUGGUGUGAUUUUCAUGGAAAAAUUCUUACUCCUUGAAAAGACUUUCUUUGCCUAGAUAGACUAAGGGUGGAGUCACUAGAUUUCUCUGGUUAGGGAUGCGGAGACAUGGUCAAUCAAGCCAGACUUAAUGUCCAACAGGAAAAGAAUGACUGUCUUCUGUAGAAGCAGUGUGAACGCUGCUAGCUAUUAGCAUGAAUGAUUGAGGAGAAUGAUGGAGUCCCCUUUUCAGGAUGUUACAAAAAUCAAGACAUUUUCAUUGAUCGAUUUGUGUUUUAGACAACUUCAGGAUGAGAGAGAUUUGCAUCUUCUCCCUCUUUUUUUUUUUUUUUUUGGUUAUUUGAGCCAAUGGUAUGUCAGUUUUGUUUAUUUUUUCAAAAACCAGUUCUUCAUUUCACUGAUCUUUUGUAUUUUUUGUUUCAAUUUUGUUUAUUUCUUCUCUAAUUUUAAUUAUUUCUUUCUUCCUACUAAUUUUGGGUUUGGUUUGUUGUUGUUUUUCUAGCUCCUUGAGAUGCAUUGAUAGCUCAUUUAUUUGAUACCUUUCCAAUUUCUUCAUGUAGGCACUGAUUGUUAUUAACUUCCCUUAACACUAGUUUUGCUGUCUCCAAUAAUUUUUGAUGUGCUCUAUUGUCAUCUUCAUUUGUUUCCAGAAAUUUUUUGAUUUCUCUUUUGAUUUCUUCUGUGACCCACUGUUCAUUCAGGAGCAUGUUGUUUAGUCUCCAUGUAUUUGCGUAUGAUCUGGAGAUUCUUGAGUUGUUGAGUUCUAGCUUCAUUACAUUGUGGUCAGAGAAGAUGCGUGGUAAAAUUUCAUUUUUUUUGAAUUUCUUGAGACUUGCUUUAUGGCCUAGCAUAUGGUCUAUCAUAGAGAAAGUUCCAUGCACUGAUGAUAAGAAUGCAUAUUAUGCAACUGUGGGGUGAAAAGUUCUGUAGAAGUGAGGUCCAUUUGAUCCAUAAUGUUGAUUAGCUCUGUUGUUUCUUUGUUGAUUUUUUUUCCGGUUGAUCUGUCCAUUGAUGAUAGUGUGGCACUGAAGUUCCCCAUUUCUAUUGUAUUCUUUUAAAUAGCCAGGUGCCCAGUAAUUAGGUGCAUAUACACUUAUUGUCACAUCUUCCUGUUGAGUUGAUACCUUACUCAUUACCUAGUGCCUUCUUUGUAGCUUUUAAUGGCUUUUAUGUUAAAAUCAAUUGUCUCAUAUUAGGAUACAUUUGCCUUUUUUUGCUUUUCAUUAGCAUGGAAUUCCUUUUUCCAUCCUUUCACUUUUGGUCUGCGUGUAUCUUUGUUGGUGAGAUGUGUUUCUUUUAGGCAACAAAUAGAUGGGGCUUUUUAAAUUAUUAUUAUUUGACAGGAAAAGUUAUAGACAGUGAGAGAGAGAGACAGAGAGAAAGGUCUUUCUUCCGUUGGUUCACUCCCCAAAUGGCCUCCACGGCCGGUGCUGCGCUGAUCCAAAGCCAGGAACCAGGUGCUUCUUCCUGAUCUCGAUGGGGCUUGUUUUUUAAUCCAUUCAGCCAGUCUAUAUCUUUUAACUGGAGAGUUGAGGCCAUUUACAUUCAAGCUAACUAUUGAUAAGUAGUGACUUUUCCCUGCCAUUUUUCCAAAAAUAUCCCUUUUUUUUUACUUUGAAUUUCCUUUGAACUUUUCCUUGGAGAUUUUCUUCCUUUACCCUCUUUUGUAGUGAUGACCAUGUUUCUUUGUUUCUGUGUGCAGCACAUCCUUAAGCAUCUUUUGUAUGGCUGGAUGGGUGGUGACGAUUUCUGUUUAUUAUGGAAGGUCUUUAUUUCACCUUCAUUCAUAAAUGAGAGCUUUGUAGGGUAUAGUAUUAUGGGUUGACAGUUUUUUUUUCUCUUAAGACUUAGAAUGUAUCUCACUGUUCUCUCCUAGUUUGUAGGGUUUCUGAUGAGAAGUCUACUGUGAGUCUAAUUGGAGAUCCUCUGAAAGUAAUCUGGUGUUUCUCUCAGGCACAUUUUAGAAUCUUUUCUGUGUAUUUUACUGUGGUGAGUUUGAUUACAAUGUGUCAUGGUGAAGAUCAUUCCUGAUUGUAUAUAUUAGGAGUUCUUUGUGGUUCAGGUGCCUCACUGUCCUAUAUGGUUGCCCUGCCACCUCCCAGCCAGACCCAGAGUCAGUGGGGACUACAGAUUGUUUCCUCCUCUAGGAACUUUGGAUCACACACGUACGUAAGAGCCGGUGGCUGAAUAUUGCUUUCUCCCCUCCACUGCUGCCAGUAUGGCCAAGAAGAUGGAAGCCUGUCUCAGCCAGUUGCUGUGCAUGUGCACAAAGUCUUCUGCAGCUCCUGCCCAAACGCAAAAUGGUGCCCACCCUUUUUUAGCUGGGCAGUGGGCACUGUUGUGUGGCAGUUGGGGCACAACAAACAUGCCCCUUCUACUUCCACUGCAUCUGUGGGCAACCACUAGCAACCACUAGUUCCCAGGGCUCCAGUCUAGACUCACACCAUGCUCUCCCUCCGGCUAUAUCACCACAGGUUUCUGCAUUCCAGUCUCACCUCCAUCUUCAAGCUGCUGCCUGCUCAGGCUCUCAGCUGCUGCAGUUGUGUGGUAUGUUCAAGUCUAUGCUGUGUGUCCACACCCUACACACAGGCCCACAGUGUUCCUCUUUCUCUUGUAGAAUUUCCAGUGUGGUUUUCUCUCCAAUUCUCCCCUGAGAGUGCACUUCCUAUACUUUUUUUUUUUUAAUUGUUUAUCCCUAGCUUAGCACGGUAUGUCAUUUUCUAAUCUGCCGUCUUAGAAUCCUUAAAUUUUUCACUUUAAAUAGUGGAUAUCAAAAAAGAGGAAGGGAGGGGCUGGUGCUGUCCAGCAGGUUAAAGCCUGGGCCUGCAGUGAUGGCAUCCCAUAUGGGCACCGGUUUGAGUCCCGGCUGCUCCAUUUCCAAUCAGCUCCCUGCUAAUAUGCCUGAGAAAAACAGCAGAGGAUGGCCGAAGUCUUUGGGCCCCUGCACCUGGGAGUGUGGGAGACCCAAAAGAAGUUCCUGACUCCUGGCUUCAGAUUCGCUCAGCUCUGGCCAUUGUGGCCAUUUGGGGAGUGAACCAGCAGAUGGAGACCUCUGUCUCUCUCUGUCUGUCCCUCUCUUUCUAAUUCUGUCUUUCAAAUAAACAAAUCUUUUAUUUUUUUUAAAGAAGUAGGAAUGGUAAACCUGGGGGAUAUAACUUACAUGAGGAAAAAGAGAGGAUCUCACUGGUCUCUUAAUACCCAUUUUGAUUUUAAGAAUCAAUAUAUUUUCUGAAAAUUCCACUGGAUGAUAUUCCAUUGGAUUUCUACAAAGUAUAAUCAAAUGAAUCUAAUAAAGAUAUUUAUCACAGUCUUGGAAUUUUUCAGAUUUCCUGGACUAAAAAAGUGCUUCUGAAAUUAUUGUUCAUGUGUUAUCUCUGGGUCUUGGGAUGAUUUGUUUGUAACUCAUAUAGGACCAGGGCCACCUCUGGGAUGCACAGAACCCUGGGGAUUUUUUUGUUUGUUUGUUUGUUUGUGUAGUUUUGCUUCCAGGACCCUGUCUAUUAUAAAAAAUUCAAUUAAAAUAUAAAAUUUACAGUCCCUAUGAAGUAUGGUCAUUUAUCAGUGAAUAUUUAGGAUAAUGGAUAAAAAAGUGAUAUUGUUGUAGUUGUUUAUUAUCAGAUCAGUGCAUCUGAAGAUUUUCCAUGAUAUCUAGGCAGCACCACUUCCUAUUUAGGUUCAGGAACCACUUCUCUGUGUUCUUUAUGGUCAAAUGUACCAUGACUGGCUAACUUCCUAUCUCCUACCAUGGGAAAGAGGUGUGAAAUAUGGUAGUAGUCACAGUGCUGUAGCUCUUGGGAGCCUCUUCAUAUUGAAUCAGUAUAGAUAGAUCUUGUUGCCUCUUCAGCUCCCUACUAAUAGUUUCUCUAGUGCUGGCCACCAUUAUACAUUGUCCUCCAAUGAGUCUCUCAAGGAUUUUUACUGUUCUUCUUUGCUGAUAACCAGGAAUAUACUUCUUACUUGUGUGCCAGGAAUUGGAAACAAUAACUCAUUUUCUGGUCAUGUUAAAUUUCCUAUUUGCAGCUUGAUAGUGUAAAUGCAGAAUGACAUGUUUUUAACUAUGUCUUCUCUUAAGUGCUUUGGACUACAAUAAUUAUGCCCUUCAUGAUAUUUUUCAAUGUUGAUGAUUAGAGUGAGUCCUACAGACCCAUCAAGAAAAGCAGUACCAUUACCAUAAAAAGACCCAUCUGGAAAAAUGUAAUUAUCACUACAUUGAUCAGAUGAAGGGACAUUGAUUAUAUGAUUGCAUUUAGAACAAUACUGUCCAAAGACCUCAGAAAUGGAUAAAGCUACCUCUGACCAUCUGACAUGUGCAAAGAACCUGUGAAGAUUGAUAACAGAAACAGAGAAUGAAGAUUAGAGAAAUUUGUUGAUUUCCUGAAAGCCACACAGUUUUGGAAGAAGGAAACUUGGUUGUUUCGAGAUUUUGCCAGUUAUCAGUAAAGCUCCUAAAAACAACCCUGUAUACACACUAAGGAGUAGGAUUCAUCGCUGGAUCAUAUGGCAACUUCCCUGUAUGGACUGCAUCAGUGGAUGACCUUCCCCUCACCUUGGAAGGUCAGAAUUCCAACUGAUGGAGUUAUGCCUUCACUGACCCUCCAAAUGCCUUAACGAUGUCUAGGAAAGCUCACAGCUCACCACAUGAUUUGGGAUCAAGGACACCAGCAGUUGUGAACAAAAUACUAACAGGCCAAGACUUACUGCUGUACAGAAUUCUGCAAUUGGAGUUUGACCUUCCCUACAUGUCUAUCAACAUAUUUUUGGGGAUGAUACUUAUUUAUGGAUCAUGGAAACUGUUUUAAAGACUUUAAUGAGCACUUAAAUUCAGGAGCACUUGCAUUUUUGUAAAGAAGUUGUCUAGGUGCUGAUGUCAAGGAGGCUGGGUCCAGGUUUUUAUCUUUGAUGAAAGAAAAGAAUUUGAUGAUGAGACGUGAGUAAAGGUCAGCAGAGAAGCCAGACGUACUUACAUGCAAAGCAGAGUCAAAAUACACGCUCAGGAGGAUACAGGCAUGCUCCAGAGAAAGGGACACAGCAAUUUUCUGGUCCCACGUGCUCUGUGAGCACCUUGCCACUCUCUCUUCAGUGUUGGAGUCUAUUUCCCGUUCCUUUGAUUGCAGUGGGAUUUUGUGACUGCCUUGAUGAAUGGAACAAGCAGAAGAUUUCUGUUUCAUGGUGGAAGGUGAUGAGGGUCCACCUACUUUUCUGUUUGUGUACACACACACAACUAUGGGAGCCCUGUCCUGAAGCUGUCACACUGCAGAGAUCACGUGAAGAGACAAUACAGGAAUACAGAGAGAAAGCCAAGGAGCCUCAGCUAUUCAACUCAUCCCAGCAGGCCCUCUCCGGAUAUGAAAGGAAACUUUCAUGUUCUGAAUUGCACAUUCUGGCAGGUCUGGUUCUGAGUCUGCUACUGAGAGGAACUAAAAAUGACCUUGAAUUGAAACUCCUACAUAGGAAGAUGCCAUGAUGAGCUCAGAGAGACCACAGCCCCAAUCUGCAAGGACUUUCAGCACAUUGUCAUGGUUGCUUCCAGUUGGCUGGGCAGGAUGCUGGUUACGUGGUUUCUGGUUCCAGUGAACUACUUGACAACAAUGACAGCUUGGGUUUUCCUCUCUGCAGGAAGAAGAGGCUGGAAGGCAAGAUGGCUCUCCCAAAGGAGAGUCUCUUUUAUCCAUGGCUUCCUUAGCUGUGCUGACUUUGUGGAAGCAGAAACCCAGUUAAGAGGAAUGUAGGGAGAGGUUUUCUUCAGCAAACACCAAUGUCAACCAAGCCUUUACCUCUGUGACCUCCUCUUCUGCUAUUCUCCCUCUUUUCUCUGAUACAGACACACUGACGUUUUUACUAUUCCUGGAACAUCAAGACAUACUCUUGCCUCAGAGCCUUUGCACAUUCGUAUUCUCUCUCUCUCUCUCUUCCUCUCUCUCUCUCGCUGUCGCUCUCACUCUCUCUCUCUGCCUAGAACUAAAUACUCCAAUGAAUUAUGUGACUUGCUUCCACUUCUCUCUCACAUCUUUCCUCAAAUGUUCCCUUUCUAUCCUAGUUGUGUGUUCUGGAAACUUUUGUAUUCUGAACUGCAUUCCCCUCAAAACACACACAUAUACACGUUCCCUCCUCCCUUCCCUGCUGAAUUUUCUCGUUUGCACAUUCCCCCAGGUCAUUUACUACACAUUUUACUGACUUAUUUUUGAUGUCUCCCCUAGUUAAGUAUAGGCUCCAUGAAGGCAAGGAUGAUUAUAUUCCAGAUCCUAGAAUACCACGUAGCCAGCAUUCAUGAAAACAUGAUGAAUGAAUAAACAAAAAUAUUAAUGGACCCUCGCUCUGCCAUUCAUUAACAGGCAGCCUUUUGCAAACAUUUUCUAACUUUUUUCUAGCCAUAUUUUUGCACUGUAAAAUUAAGAUGAUAAUCUCUACUUACCUGUUGUGAGUUCUCAACAAGAUUACAAAAGCACACACUCAGCAUAGCAUUUAUUUAGCAUGAACUCAGGGUUGGUUCAAUGACUGACUUUGCAAGUUCAAUGAAACAAAUACAAAUAAUAGUAACAAGCAUUUUUGGGGUGUUUCUUGUGGGCCAGGUGCUGCUGUAAGCUUUUACAGUCAUCAACACAUGUAAGCCUUAUAAUACCCUAUAAGGGAUGCACCAUCCUCUGCCUCCUCCUUGCAUUAGAAAUAAAGAAAGUUCGGGAGUAAAUAGCUGGAGGCCACAUAAUUGUGACUCUCAGAACCUGCAUUUGUGCUCAGCCCCCUCGGUCACCAAAGUCCUUCCCUUAGCCACUUCAUUGUCUUGCUUCUCUAGAGUAAGAGGGCACAAUUUAUACAAUACAGGCAUAGGAAAUCCUUUCAAGUAGUAAACUCUCCUCUCUACAUAUUUUAGUGUUCAAACAUAUACGAUUUCUUCAUGGAUCAGGUAUGAUGAUAAUUCAAUCUCUAAGUUAACUGAAAUAUUUAGGUAGAAGCUAUGAAUUUGCUUCAGCCAUGAAAUACUAUCCUUGAGGAAUUAUUUGGAAAUUGUUUUACUUAGACACAUGUCAUAGGAACAUUUAUGUGUCUGUGUGUAAGUGUACACACACAUAUACAAACGCAUACAUACACACAUAUUUUAUAGCAGAUAGCAGAGUCAUUUAGUGGUUCAAGCUGAGUGGAAACAAAAACCAAGGCCAUAUAGACAGACUUGACCCCAGCACCUGCUUUUGACGCUGUUUCCAAUAUUGUUAUCCUGUUUUUCUUGCGAAUUGUCUUUAAUCAUGUGUGAUUCCUGUGCAUCUAGCAUAUCCCAUAACCAGUCAUUCAUAGGCUAUUUUAAGUUUUGUCAUUAGAGUGCUGGGUUUUAUUCAUGACAGUGAGGCCCAGGCAUCUCCAUUUGUGACAAUGGUUCUACAAGUUGCUGCAUACCCAACAGGGAGGCACACUUUCCAAAUCAUCUUUACAGCUUUUCAGUUCCCUUUUUUCUUUCUUGGUUUCUAUUGUCUUUCAAAUAAUGACUGAGACACUGCUGGGUUUUUUUUGCUUCUUGUGAUUUCUCCAGAAGGCCUUACAUACAGGAGUUCAGUUGGUACCAGGUUUAAUUUCCUAUUGGUUUUAAUCUGGCUUUUUAUUUAUUUAUUUAUUUAUUUUGGCAAAACACAGAAAACUAUUCCAGCCAGCUUGAGACACAAGGCUUUAGCAUGUUGACCACGUCACAUUAUUUUUAAAUGAUAAAGGAAUGCUCACAGGAAUCCAGCAGUUGGAGCUAUAUUAAGUCUUGGCCUAAAGGAGCCCAGAGCUUAAAGGCAAUUCUAGACUCAAGGAGGCUCCUAGACCUUCAGUACCAGGAGUCUGUGAAUCUCUGAUUUCCAUGAUUAAGCCACACAUGAUAUAUCUUCUUCUGGUCCUGGUGCAAACUGAUAGCUAAUUGUUUGCUUCAAGUUUAGGAACCUAAGAGAGAAUCUAAUUGACCCCAUCCUUCUUUCAGAGUAGACUGUACUUCCUGAAGCUGCCUGUGGGUCUUCUUGCCAUUGGCACAGGUGCAUAAUGGACCAAGGCCAAUCAUCUGUAGACAGAAAGGGUGGGAUGCUAGCUUCUACACAUGGCUUCUUGGGCCUGUCCCUAGGGCAGACAGUGUGGGCAGGGUAGAUCCCCUCCAAAGAGGCUGUGGCUAGAUUGGCACAGUGUUGACCUUUCCAGAAUACCACCCUGUAAGACACUGAAAUUGUUAGCCAUGUUAUACAGUCAUAUCAAGGUGAAAUAACGUAAUAUUGACAAAGACACAAAUGCAACUCGGAUAUCUACAAAGCCACAUGCAUUUAUCUUUGCAAUUUGCAUGCUUAAAAUACUGAGAAGUGUCAUUAUUUCUUUGUGAAAUACUUUAUUUAAAAAUAUUUGUUUAUUUACAUGAUAAGUACUUUGAUAAAUAGCCAUCAAAGCCCUGUGACUUUUCUCAGUCAGGGCGGGCCUGCCAUUACAAUUCCAGCUGAUGCCAUCCAUAGAGUUCAAUGUGAUAACUGAACUGAAGCUGCAGUAGCCUUUUCAGCCACUUAUUGAGGUUUUGCUGGGAGUGAUCUGGUCAAAACCUAUCGGUUUGUUAUUACAGUCGACUAAAUAUCUGCAAGGACAUGGGCUAUAGCUGUAAACAAAGGCAGAGGUUCUUUGUGUCAAACAUAGGGUGCCCAUGAUGCUGGCUAUCACUCCUCUGAGAACUGGUCCACAUCUACUCAGGAACCGUGAACAACAAGCGGCAUAUUAUAGGGAUGUUUUGGUUGAGGUAAGAAACUUAACGGAGCAUGGGUUUAGUUCCAGGUCUGGUGUAUUGCUGCAGUGGGUGGGAAAACAGUGUUAGUUGUGGUGGUAGUGGGUGGCUGGUACAAAGGCAGAAAGCAUUACAAACUCAGCCUGCAUUACAGUUUUGAUGAAUGACCCUUCCCCCUCAAACACACAUAAAGACCAAAUUUGCAUUCAAAGUAAGUGUCUUCAGACAAAUUGUGUAAAUUGCACUGUCUUGUCUUGACUCUGCAACAGAAACCAGCCUUUUGCUGCUGUAAGCCCCCAACCUCCUACCUGUACUGUAACACAUCACUUUCUAUGUAUAUUAAAAAAAAUCUUCACCUGAUUUUCCCCCUCCCUGGAAUGAAAUUUUUUUAAAGACAGAAUCAAUGUUUGAAUCUAUCCUGGUAUUCCUUCCACAACUUGGAACAUGCCAAGCCUUUAAUAAAAAUUUCUUAGAUGAAUGAGAGUAAAAAUAUAGAUUGCCCUUUGAGUCACCAAAUUGACUGUGAUCCAUGCUGGUCCUUCUGCACAGUGACAAUAUUUGGCACAGAAGGAAUGUCUGAGAGGGAUCAUUGCUAAUUGAACCUAAUUUCCAUGUCAGAUGUAUUUUAAAUUUUCACAUGUCUGAUGUAGGCACUGUGGAAACACCAUCAAUAUAUCUUUUUUUUUUUAAGAUUUAUUUAUUUGAGAGCCAGAGUUACAGACACAGAGAAAGAAAGAGAGAAAGGUCUUCCAUCCACUGGUUAACUCCCCAAAUGGCCGCAAUAACUGGAGCUGAACCAAUCCGAAGUCAGGAGCCAGGAGCUUCUUCUGGGUCUCAACGUGGAUGCAGGGACCCAAGCACUUGGGCCAUCUUCACUGUUUUCCCAGGUCAUAAACAGAGCUGGAUCAGAAGAGGAGCAGCUGAGACACGAACCAGUACCUAUAUGGGAUGCCAGCACCACUGGUGGAGGCUUGACCUACUACACCACAAAGCUGGCCCUGUAUAUCUUGUAAUAUGUGGAAGAGUAUACAGAAACCAUUGAUUAACAAAACAAAGACAGAACUUUUUAAGGCAGAUCAGGAGGGUUCUUUGAGUACAGAGAAGGGCAAGGAGGAGGGGGAAAAUCUAGCCUUCGUUGACAGUUUACCAUGCACGGAGCCUUGUCGCAAGUAUUUUGCAUUAACUUAUCUAAGACCAUAGCACUAUGGGGAAGGUACUGCUAUCACGUUUCACAGGUAAGUGCGGUGCAAAGCAAAGAAGGUUUACUUUCGGCCCACAUAGUUUGAUUUGCUGGACUCCUGGGAUAGGCUUCUCUUUCGAUCUUUCUCCUUCCCUGUCUGUUUUCUUGUUCUCUCAGGAGAUGGUCAAAGAUGUGGCAGUGAUUGUGAUUUCAUCUAGGGAGACCAUGCUGGCUCUUUACUGACUUCUCUGCAGUAAGCCUAGCUGUUUGAUAUUCUUAAAAGUAGAAUCUGAGUAAGAUGGACAAAUGCAUUUGUUACUGAUAUUUAGUGCUUUUAAGAGCAUAAUAUUGGUGAAAUAUUUUUCAAAACACAAUCAGACCCUCCUUCACAGGUAUGAGAAUGGGAAAAGAUAUAAAGUGAGAGAAGAAGUCAGACAUCCCAUCCUGUCACAGCUGUCUGCACGACCCUCCAGCAAUCACUGUGUUUGCAUGGGGGGAUCCAUUUUCCAGUUCACUUUCUAGAACCUGCUCUGAUGUUCAAAGACACCACGCUAAAUUCUCUAAUGAUCUGUGGUUAAAUAGUUCCACAUCCCAGGAGGGUCCCUUUACUACCAUCUAUGUUGACAUUUGGGGUUGACUACAGAGAACACCUUCAUACAAGCUGGAGGCUGUGCCUAAGACAAAGAAACUAAGUCAAUGGCAGGAAGGUUUGAAUUGUUCCUAACAGACUGAAACAAGUCACUCUUACAGGAACUUAGGUAAUGUCUGUCCAAACUGCCCAGAGAAGAGUAGAGAUUACAUAAUUUCUGCAGAUAGUUUUCAUAUACUCAGCCAAAGUGGAUAAUUGAAGUGGCAUCCAGACUUCUAGUUUAGCAAUGUGAAUAUUCCAUAAUAAUGCAACUUUGUUCCUACAUGUAGAUGCUUGGAAAAGCCUGGCAUAUAUGGACACUCAAUAAAUAUUUGUGAAAUGAAUGAAUAAAAGAAUGAAUGGAAAAAUCUAGAAAGAUGUCAGCCAUAAAUGUUGAAGGUAAUUAUUAUCUCUUUAAAUAGCUGCAUGUUCUGAUUUUUCUAUUAUAAAUAUGUAUUAGUUUUUAUAAUAGUAGUUUAAAAACGUACCUCAGAUUUCCAGGAAAUUACUGAUUUGAAACUGCAGUGGAUUUCGCCAGCUUCAUUAGUGUCAGUAGCAUUAUGGCCUCGGCCCCUGUGGAUUAGUUCUUAGAAGACUGGGUCCUUUCCAGAAGCUGGAUCAAGUCAAUGCUCCUUGGCCAAUGGGAAAGUGCCUGGUUUGUUUUCUGAGCAAAGGGCUUGUUAAAAUCACAGGGUGUUAGAGGUCACCUUGCCCAAUUUUCUUAGUUUUCAGAUGAAGAAACUGAGUCCAGGGAGGCAGCUGGCUUUGCGCAAGUCAGUGAUGAAACUGGCCUGAGAAACCAGGCCUUCUGAAUUGAAGCAUAUUUCCCCAUUCUACACUGCAAUAAGCCAGAGAUCCAGAGAAAGACUGGUGGCAUACUCACCUGGGUAACUGAAAGAAAUUUUAGAAAGGGACAGUUUAAACAGUGGUGUAGAGUUAGAAAGACCAGCAAGGGAAGUAACGUGCUCCAAGUUAUGUGAAAACAAGGAGCUGGGGCCAGCAUUGUGGCAUAGCAGGUGAGCUCUGCCUGUGACACCAGUAUCCCAUAUGGGUGCUGGUUCGUGUCCUGGCUACUCCACUUCCAAUUCAGCUCCAUGCUGGUAGUCUGGGAAAAGCAAUAGAAGAUGGCACAAAUGUUUGGGCCCCUGCCACCUACAUGGGAGACCUGGAUGAAGCUCCUGACUCCUGGCUUUGGCCUAGCACAGCCCUGGUUAUUACAGCCAUUUGGGGAGUGAAUGAGUGGAUGGAAGAUCUCUCUCUCUUUCUGUCUCUGUAACUCUGACUUUCAAAAUAAAUAAAUAAAAACAAAACAGAACAAGCAGUUGUUACCACUCACAAGCCUGAACAGGGCACAGAUGGGAGCCACUGCAGAACCCACAAAGGGCAAUGGUGGGGAGAAGGUUAAUGGCAGGCACUGGGACCUUCAAGACGGAGACACAGUCAUCUGCAAUGACCCAGUAGCAAAAGCCUAAACAGCCAGAGGGCUGAGGGAAUCAAAGUCCAGACUCAUUCUUAUCCCAAUUGGAAGACAAAGUCAAAGGUGUUUGUUGAUGCAGUUCAAAGUCAUCAGGUGCCAGAGUGUAGGGCAGAGUAAGGAAGGAUAGAGAUGGGGUCUGGAGGGACCAGUGGAAAACACCCAGCCCACCUGCCUUCUAGAAGAGAAACCCAGUCCUAUCUCUGCCCUCACUUCAGCUUCCAGUCCGUAAAAACCUGGACAAUUGAGGUGACAUUAGAAAAAAUUCUCAUUAUACAGGUAAUACAUAUUUAUAAUAGAAUAAAACAGAACAUGCAGCUAUUUAAGGAAAGGAUCAUUACUUUCGACAUUUAUGAUUGAAACCUUUCUAGGCUUUUCUAAUCAUUCAUUCAUUCAUUCAAUUCUGCCAAAAAAUGUUUAUUGAAUUUCAGUGUGUGCCAGCUGUUUUAGACACACAAAACAGGAGUAAAAGAGAUAUAGACAAAUAUUCCUUCCUUCAAGGAGCUAACACUUUAGUGGGGGAAGAGUCACAAUAAACAGAAAUAGCCAGAAUGAUAGAAUGUGAGAUGGGGAUUUGGCUUUAAGAAGAAAAAGAAAGCAGGAGGGAAGAAUAAGAGUGUUGUCGGGGGAACUGGAAUUUAAAUAAGGCAACCAGGGAGAAAUUUGUGUGGUGGAAGCGGGGAGAGGGAGAGAGGGAGACAGAGAGAGACAGAGAGAGAGCAUGGCUGACCAUUUGAGGGCUUUUCCUCGGCUAAUCGCUGAGUGUACAGGUAAUGGGGAGUGUGGGUGGUGUGACUUCCCCCCUCCCUCGCAGUUUCAAAAUAUCUCUCUUUAGACUCUUUUAAAGGGCAAAGCUUUCUCCAUUCCUAUACCAACUAUUAAAAAAUGCCACUGUGACUCCUCAGUGCAAGCUCCUUAGCCAAAUUUUUGGUGUGUCUCUGUCUCCUUCUAGCCGGGUAACUUGAGGGAAGUCAUCUAACCUUUGUAAGCUCCAGUCAUCUCCUGUGUGAAAAUAAGGGUUUGGGUGAUAAUGAAAUAAGAUUAGCUCUGGGAGGGACCUACUGCCCAGCACAUAGUUGGUGUUCCAAAGAUGGCAGCUACCUUCCUUCUUAGGGCAGGUAUGUUCUGAUACAGCUCUGGUCCUGAGAUCCACAUAUCAGGGGAGUUGGCUGAGCAGUCUAAUAAUACUAGUAGCUGGCACCAACUGACUACCUAUUAUGCCAGGCAUACCAUUUCCAUGUGUUAUCUCAUUAAAUCUUCACAUUUUAAGAUAAGGAGGACCACUCAAAGACCAGUCCAUCAGCUGUAGAAUCUUCCAGUCUGCAGUUUCUACAAGUGUAUUAUGAGACACCUUCUCAAAUGCUUUGCCAAGAGGUACACAUUGGGCAUAGUGUUUAAGACACUGCUUGAGAUGCUUGAAACCUGUAUCAGAAUGCCUGGGAUCAAGUCUUGACUCUUCCAAUUCCAGCUUCCUGUUAAUGUGGACCCUGAGAAGCAGGAGGUGAUGGCUUAAGUAGUUACCACCCAUAUGGGAGACCUGGAUUGAGUUGCUGGCUCCAGGCUUCAGUGUGUCCAAAGUGGCUGUUAUAAGCAUUUGGGGGGUGAACCUGAAGAUGAGAGAUUUCUCUCUGUCUCUGGCUCUCUAUCUUUCAAACCAAAACAAUAUAAAUAAAAAGCUUUGCUAAAAUCAAGACAUCCAAUGUCUGUGAUGAUUUUUUCACUAAACAUUCAUAAGCUCUAUCAAAACUAAAGUGCUAUUGGUUGACAUAACUAUCAGUAAACCCAUAGUAGCUGACCAUGAUUAACAACUUGUUUUCUUUUUUAAGAUUUUAUUUAUUUAUUUGAAAGGUAGAGCUACACACAGAGAGAGGAAGAGACACAGAGAAAGGUCUUCCAUCUGCUGGUUCACUCCACAAAUGACCAUAAUAGCCAGAGGUGAGCUGAUCUGAAGCCAAGAGCCAGGAGUCUCUUCUGAGUUUCCCACAGGGGCACAGGUGCCCAAGGAUUUGGGUCAUCUUCCACUGCUUGCCCAGGCCACAAAUGGAGAGCUGGAUUGGAAGAGGAGCAGUUGGGACACAAACCGGCACCCAUGUGAGAUGCUGGUGCCCCAGGCAAAGGCUAUGCCCACGACAACAUAGUGCUGGCCUCUAGCAACCUCUUUUAUAAGGAUCGAGGGGCCUUUUGGGUAGGUUUCUACAAAUGUGGGGUGGAAUAUGGGGCUCACAUUGAUCUACUGUAACAACAGUUUGGGCUUCAUCUGGUGUCACUCGGGCUUUGACAUUUUUCUCAAGAACAAGGUCUCUGAUUAUCAGUAUCUUUAGGGAUUUUGGAGGACAUGUUGUAGGAGGAAAGUGCCGGAUUAAAUCUAACAUGGUGGUCUUCAAGUUGUACAUUUAUCGAUUUCAAUGAUGGUAAAGACAGGAGGAAGCUAUGCAGUCACUCAUGUUAAAUGCAGAUCACUUAAUUGGCCUUUGUUGGAAAUCUCAGACACAUAUUCAUCCUCUCCUUCUCUUGACAGCACUAAAUGAAUGGUUCUCUCCCCACCUCCAUCACAGAAAAUAGGGAGUCCAGGGCUUUUGGUUUGUUUAUUUUUAAAAUUUGUUUAUCUUUUUUAUUUCAUUUUUGGAAGAGUCCAUCUUUUCUUACAUUUGCGCCCUGUGAUCUCUAAAUUCCCCAGUCAAUACUGCGAGAGUGAAUUUUAGUCUCGUAAGGAGGUGACUUAGUCUGAUCUGUACAUUACCUUGUUAUCUUAAGGUUCCUGUUUCCAGACAGUUUUGUGAAACCUCUCAUUUGGCUUGCUUAUCUUAUUUGCAUGAGACCUUAUUCAUAAAAAUCAGCAUUUUCAAAAAUUAUGGUAUUAAUGUCACCUUGAAGAAUUAUUCUUUGCUUUAGUAGAGGAUUCUCUAUAGGAUCUAUUGAGUAAUGAACAUAGCCAAGAAACUAUAUUUCACUCCAUGCUCUUAUUUUCAUAACUAUGGGUAUACUGUAUGCUACUCUAUAUACAUGGAGAGAUUCAGUCUUAUCAUUUAUUAGUAACUUUCCUUACUCAUAGAUUAGCAAACUCAUAUGUUCUCUGCUCUUCCUAUAAAUUACUAUUUUUGUUAUUUUUCGGAGUGUUACUUUUUAAAGUUUGUUAAUUAGAGAGAGAGAGAGAUCAGUCUUCCAUCUUCCACUAAAACUCUAGAUGCUUGCAACAACCAGAGCUAGGCCAAGCUGGAGCCAGGAGCCUGGAACUUAAUCUGGGUCUCCACAUGGGUGGCCGAGAUUCAAGCACUUGAGCUGUUACCUGCUGCCUCCCAGGGUGUGCAAUAUCAGGAAGCUGGAGUUGGGCAUGGAACCAGGACUUGAACAGAGGAACUCCAAUAUGGGAUGUAGGCAUUCUGAGCAAUAUCCUAACUGCUGUGCCAAAUGCCCACCUCCUAAGAAUUUUUUUUUUUAUCAUUGAAGAACAUAUAAAAGUGCUGAAGAAUAAUAAUGAUAGUAUCAUAUAUUGAGUAUAUUUGUGUCAAGUACUGCUCUCUAAAUGUCAUAAAUGUAUUGAUAUUAAAAUGAUAUAUUAAAUUAUAGCAUUAAGAUGUAAUUGUUAUUCUCUAUUAUAUUUUUAAAGAGAAAAAGACAGUCAAGUAGACAAACAAAAUGAAGGAGGGAGAGAGAGAAAGAGAUGAAGACCAAGUUCCCCUCUGCUGGUUCACUUCCCAAAUGCCCACAACAGCCAAGACUAGGCCCCGGCUGAAGCCAGGAGCCAGGAACUCAAUCCAUGUCUCCUACAUGGGUGGCAGGAACUUGAGCCAUAAUCACUGCCUCCCAGAGUUUGUAAUAGCAGGAAACUAGAAUUGAGAGCUGAUGCUAAUAUUGUAUCCACACACUCGCAUAUGGGAUACAUGUAUCUUAACCAGCAUCUGAAACACUAGGCCAAAUGCCUGCCUGUCUUUUAUUAUUGCCGCUUUGGUUUGCUUCCUCAAAUAUCACCCGCAAUUAUAAAGCUCAAAGAAGACCACUUUUUUCCUCCUCUCGGAUAAAAAGAAUUCUAAUAUGUUAACAUAGUAUUUCUUUUUGUCCUUUUGGUUUUCUAAGGUAACUUGGGGUACAACUGUAUGAAUUAACGCUUUCUGUUCAAGUUGGAAACUUUUAUUCAGAGUUAUGUUACUAGGCUCAUAGUAGGCUUUAAAGAUGACAGAGAGCCACUAAAUUCAUCCUUUUGUUCAUUCUCAUGGCAGGAAUCUAUUGAGCCCUUUCUCAAUGCCAGGCACUACUCAUACUCUUUUUUUCCCUUUUUUUUUUUUAAGAUUUAUUUAUUUAUUUGAAAGAGUUACACAGAGAGAGAAGGAGAGGCAGAGAGAGAGAGAGAGAGAGAGAGAGAGAGAGAGAGAUCUUCCAUCUGCUGGUUCACUCCCGAAAUGGCUGCAACAGCUGAAGCCGCGCUGAUGCAAAGCCAGGAGCUAGGAGCUUCUUCUGGGUCUCCAAGAGGGUGCAGGGGCUCAAGGACUUGGGUCAUGUUCUACUGCUUUCCCAGGCCAUAGCAAAGAGCUGGAUCAGAAGUGGAGCAGCCGGGACACGAGCCAGCGCCCACAUGGAAUGCUGGCACUGCAGGUGGUGGCUUUACCCACUAUGCCAGUCGGCCCCAACUGCUCACACUCUUUAGAGUCCUCUGUAGCGUCCACCACAAUGAAUUACUUAAGUGCAGGUUCCUCUCAAGCCACUGGACAGAUGCCCAGAUGCAUCUUGAAGUAGGUUCCACCUGCCCAGUACAUGCAACUUCUUUCCUGAAGCUCUCUUACUCUUAUUUGAGCACUAGUCUCAGGGACUAACCCAGUUUUUAUUAGAAUAGUUCAUGUUCUGCUGCUUGGUCUGGAUCCAAGUCUUUUGGUGGCACAAAUCCACAUCAGCAUUUAAUACCCCACCCCUGCUCCUGGAACAUUCUUUCCACUAAGAGGAUCCUUUUUGACUCUUGCCCUUGAACUACCCAGUCACUGAGACAGGGGAUUUUACCCAGAGGCCGCGAUGGUUAUCUGACCUAGUGUAGACAUUGACUAAACAAUGAUGCUCUCACCCAUCCAGGGGUCAUGACCCUGUCUUCCAAGCUCUUUCUUCCAAACUGGGCAGAAAGUCCAGCCUUGUGAUUUCUCUGAAAUAACUUAAAAUAUUGUAGCUCUCCGGUUGCCAUCUACUUCCCCUUGACCCAGUGCCUGCAACUUGAUUUGUAGGGGACAAUUCUUGUAAAACGAUGUCCUACUUAGGCUCCUUCCUAAAUGUAGGUUCGAUAUCCAGCUGUCAUGGAAAUUAUUGGGUGAUGGAGGAAACAAAACCUCAGAGCAGCCCUAACAGCAGCUGUCAAGGCCACACACUAAUGCCUGUGCUGUUUUCUCCGCUGAACACACAGCUGGGCCCAGUGUGUUCUCUUUGUAUUGCUGCUGUAACAAUCACUCCAAGCUUAGCAGUUAAGAACAAUACAAAUGUAUUGUCUUAAAGGCUGGGAGGUUUGAAAUGGGUCUCACUGGGCUAAGAUUCUUUCUACAGGAUUUGCAAGAGAGAAUCUGUUCUGUGCCUUUUCCAGAUUCUAGCUUCUCACUGUCCAGCUUCCUUUACCUGUGACCCUCUUGCAUCUUCAAAACCAGCAAUGGCUGGGCUGGCACUGCGGCUCACUAGGCUAAUCCUCUGCCUACGGCUCUGGUACCCUGGGUUCUAGUCCUGGUUGGGGCGCCGGAUUCUGUCCCAGUUGCUCCUCUUGCAGUCCAGCUCUCUGCUGUGCCCCGGGAAGGCAGUGGAGGAUGGCUCUCAUUCAGGGGCCCUGCACUGCAUGGGAGACCAGGAGGAGGCACCUGGCUCCUGGCUUCGGAUGGGCACAGCACCGGAUGUAGUGGCCAUUUGGGGGGUGAACCAAUGGAAGGAAGACCUUUUUCUCUGUCUCUUUCUCACUGUCUAACUCUGCCUGUCAAAAAAAAAAAAGAAAAAGAAAA
Oryctolagus cuniculus (rabbit) is the source of this 29173-nucleotide non-coding RNA. The record is from RefSeq and is a predicted model, not a curated record. NCBI's taxonomy places the organism in Eukaryota, Metazoa, Chordata, Mammalia, Lagomorpha, Leporidae.